UAAAUGAGAGUUGGAUGGAAAAUUGAGAAAUGUUGAUAUUGAAGUUGCAAUGAGUCUUGGUAUUUUCCGGAUGGUUUUGAUGAGUUAAAUUAUUGAAAAUAUUAUGUAUUGAGUCUUCAUAUCCUUGUCCAAAUAUCGAGUCAGUUAUGGUUCAAUGCAUUGAUACCUUGUUGAUGUUGAGGAAGAUUAAAAUGUUUUGAGCUAAAAUAUGUUGAGUUAGGAAUCCACAAAUUGAUAUGAUUUGAUAAAUGAGAA
RNAcentral lists this long non-coding RNA (255 nucleotides) under Capsicum annuum. RNAcentral's name for it is "long non-coding RNA (CANN_LNC008418)". Lineage: Eukaryota; Viridiplantae; Streptophyta; Magnoliopsida; Solanales; Solanaceae. The record is from RNAcentral.